GCCGGCAUGGUGGUGCAUGCCUGUAAUUGCAGCUACUCAGGAGGCUGAGGCAGGAGGAUCACUUGAGCCCAGGAGGUCGAGGCUGCAGUGAGCCAAGAUCAUGCCACUGCACUCCAGCCUGGGCAACACAGUGAGACCCUGUCUCAA
RNAcentral lists this signal recognition particle RNA (147 nucleotides) under Gorilla gorilla gorilla (western lowland gorilla). RNAcentral describes it as "Metazoan signal recognition particle RNA". It matches the Rfam family "Metazoan signal recognition particle RNA". Rfam says of the family: The signal recognition particle (SRP) is a universally conserved ribonucleoprotein. The record is from Rfam by way of RNAcentral. Lineage: Eukaryota; Metazoa; Chordata; Mammalia; Primates; Hominidae.